UAGGUAAAUCCGGGAUUCUAAGGCCGAGAGCUGAUGACGAGUCAUCUUUUAGAUGACGAAGUGGUUGAUGCCAUGCUUCCAAGAAAAGCUUCUAAGCUUCAGGUAACCAGGAACCGUACCCCAAACCGACACAGGUGGUUGGGUAGAGAAUACCAAGGCGCUUGAGAGAACUCGGGUGAAGGAACUAGGCAAAAUGGCACCGUAACUUCGGGAGAAGGUGCGCCGGUGAGGGUGAAGGACUUGCUCCGUAAGCUCAUGCCGGUCGAAGAUACCAGGCCGCUGCGACUGUUUAUUAAAAACACAGCACUCUGCAAACACGAAAGUGGACGUAUAGGGUGUGACGCCUGCCCGGUGCCGGAAGGUUAAUUGAUGGGGUUAGCUAACGCGAAGCUCUUGAUCGAAGCCCCGGUAAACGGCGGCCGUAACUAUAACGGUCCUAAGGUAGCGAAAUUCCUUGUCGGGUAAGUUCCGACCUGCACGAAUGGCGUAACGAUGGCGGCGCUGUCUCCACCCGAGACUCAGUGAAAUUGAAAUCGCUGUGAAGAUGCAGUGUAUCCGCGGCUAGACGGAAAGACCCCGUGAACCUUUACUAUAGCUUUGCACUGGACUUUGAAUUUGCUUGUGUAGGAUAGGUGGGAGGCUUUGAAGCGUGGACGCCAGUUCGCGUGGAGCCAACCUUGAAAUACCACCCUGGCAACUUUGAGGUUCUAACUCAGGUCCGUUAUCCGGAUCGAGGACAGUGUAUGGUGGGUAGUUUGACUGGGGCGGUCUCCUCCUAAAGAGUAACGGAGGAGUACGAAGGUGCGCUCAGACCGGUCGGAAAUCGGUCGUAGAGUAUAAAGGCAAAAGCGCGCUUGACUGCGAGACAGACACGUCGAGCAGGUACGAAAGUAGGUCUUAGUGAUCCGGUGGUUCUGUAUGGAAGGGCCAUCGCUCAACGGAUAAAAGGUACUCCGGGGAUAACAGGCUGAUACCGCCCAAGAGUUCAUAUCGACGGCGGUGUUUGGCACCUCGAUGUCGGCUCAUCACAUCCUGGGGCUGAAGCCGGUCCCAAGGGUAUGGCUGUUCGCCAUUUAAAGUGGUACGCGAGCUGGGUUUAGAACGUCGUGAGACAGUUCGGUCCCUAUCUGCCGUGGACGUUUGAGAUUUGAGAGGGGCUGCUCCUAGUACGAGAGGACCGGAGUGGACGAACCUCUGGUGUUCCGGUUGUCACGCCAGUGGCAUUGCCGGGUAGCUAUGUUCGGGAAAGAUAACCGCUGAAAGCAUCUAAGCGGGAAACUUGCCUCAAGAUGAGAUCUCACUGGAACCUUGAGUUCCCUGAAGGGCCGUCGAAGACUACGACGUUGAUAGGUUGGGUGUGUAAGCGCUGUGAGGCGUUGAGCUAACCAAUACUAAUUGCCCGUGAGGCUUGACC
RNAcentral lists this ribosomal RNA (1414 nucleotides) under Pseudomonas fluorescens. RNAcentral's name for it is "bacterial LSU rRNA". It matches the Rfam family "Bacterial large subunit ribosomal RNA", at positions 1533 to 2925 of the family's 2925-position model. Lineage: Bacteria; Pseudomonadati; Pseudomonadota; Gammaproteobacteria; Pseudomonadales; Pseudomonadaceae. The record is from RNAcentral.